Molecule: ribosomal RNA, 522 nt
Filed under: uncultured bacterium
Lineage: Bacteria
Description: bacterial SSU rRNA
Rfam family: Bacterial small subunit ribosomal RNA
Source: RNAcentral
GGUACGGGCAGACUAGAGUGUGGUAGGGGAGACUGGAAUACCUGGUGUAGCGGUGGAAUGCGCAGAUAUCAGGAGGAACACCGAUGGCGAAGGCAGGUCUCUGGGCCAUUACUGACACUGAGAAGCGAAAGCAUGGGGAGCGAACAGGAUUAGAUACCCUGGUAGUCCAUGCCGUAAACGUUGGGAACUAGGUGUGGGCCUCAUUCCACGAGGUCCGUGCCGCAGCUAACGCAUUAAGUUCCCCGCCUGGGGAGUACGGCCGCAAGGCUAAAACUCAAAGGAAUUGACGGGGGCCCGCACAAGCGGCGGAGCAUGCGGAUUAAUUCGAUGCAACGCGAAGAACCUUACCAAGGCUUGACAUGCACCGGAAUCGCUCAGAGAUGGGUGCGUCUUCGGACUGGUGCACAGGUGGUGCAUGGUUGUCGUCAGCUCGUGUCGUGAGAUGUUGGGUUAAGUCCCGCAACGAGCGCAACCCUCGUUCUAUGUUGCCAGCACGUGAUGGUGGGGACUCAUAGGAGACUG